Non-coding RNA from Monodelphis domestica (gray short-tailed opossum), 33862 nucleotides. Lineage: Eukaryota; Metazoa; Chordata; Mammalia; Didelphimorphia; Didelphidae. The record is from RefSeq and is a predicted model, not a curated record.
AUCUAAGGAAACAACAUUUUUCUUUCAGCUUGGGCACAACGGGAGUUCUCUUGCUCUCCCCACUAACCACAAAGUACAUAUCACUUUCUGUGUCUACACUGCCACACUUGUGGAAAGACCACCUCAUGAGUUACAAACAUGCCGCCAUCAUGUUAAGCCUAGGCCAGUGCUUAGGAAAAGUUUGGGUGGCGGUCUUGCUUGCUCAAAGGCAUCGUUCAAGGUGUGGUUUAGUGACCUAGUAAGCAACCAAAUGGAUAGUAAAUGAAAGAAUGGACUGUAUGUGUCUUCCUUCAAAGACAUUGGAAGAUCUCAUCUGUUGGAGUCAAAAUUUGCAAUCAUUGGCCCAGGUUUGGCAAGUAUCACACCAUCCUAGUUGAGUAUGUUCCUUCUGUUAGUAUCUUAUCCUUACAUAGCAUGUUUUUUUACAUAAUACCUUCCCACUCCCAUACAUCCUUUUCAAGCCUUAGUUCAUGACCUAUUAGAGGACUUUUGUUAAUAGAGUUCAUGGCCAUCUCCAACUGGACCAUUUUGAAUAGUUCUGCAUUCUUCAGAAGAAAAGUUAGGCACACUUAGGUAUUUUUUCUUUAUUGGCUUAUUUUAAACCCAUUUGACUAUUCUAGUCAGUCCCUUUUUGGAAACUUAUUCUAGCAUUAAUGGUCUUUUAGUAAUAAAGCUUCAAGUCUAGCUUCUCACUUAGGACAUUCCCAAUGACAUUGGCAAAAUGUAGGUAUACGAUUGCCCACAUUCAUUGUAAGGUUUUAGUAUCAUUCAGGGAUCAGUUAAGUUGCUUUCAACCCUUGGUAGUUGGAAUUGUUUAGAGAUAAAGUAUUCUUUUAAAACAAAUCAAAUUCAUCUACUUACUGUACUCCUAGAUUGUUUUAUAAGAGUAGAGAAACUUUUGGAAAGCAACAUUUUGAUUUGUUUUGUCUUCUUUGGAAGGUUAAAUCACGGUCUUGAGAUAAAAGCAUCAAUAUUUAACAAUGUAGAACUAUAUUUCUAACAAAACAAAUGGAGUAGACUGGAAAACAUUUUCAGGGGUUAGGCUGUCCUUUAUAAGAAUCAGUAUUUUUAUACACGCAGAAAAGAUUCCUGUUUAAAGUUUAGUUUUCUCAACUAGUGGAUUGCCUCUUCCCAUCUAUGUCAUGCUGACCCCUCUAUAGAUUUUUGACAUCCUUUCCAAAGUCUUUUUUCAUUCUUUCUCCUGAUGAUGUGAUUAGCAUAAAUGUGCUUUUCAGCAUUGUCUUAGCAAUCAUGGUUUCUAGUUCAGAUUUUUUCCUCUAUGCUUGAAAGUAGGAUGUGAUCCAUCUCUUUAAAACCAGGGAUCCUAUACCAAAGACCAAACUAUCUUUUCCAUCCUGAAGUUUCAUCUAAAUAACUCCAAGAUGGGAGUGCCCAGUUUUCCUGGGACUACCAGGGAGAAAGGUGGUAGCUGCAGGAAUGUCCUGCCCUGCCCUACUCCUUUUUCAGCUUCUCAUUCUCAGAGGCUUCAAGAAAGUGAAGAGUAGUCUCUUUCCCAAAAGACUGGGAAUACUCAAAAGUCUUCCUGUUAAAUAGAGAGUGACAGCGUGUUUGGGCUUUCCUAGUUGGGGAUGCUACCUUUCCUGCUUGGUAGAAGACAAAAGAUAGUGAGAAAGCUCUAGUCAUUAAACUUUAUGUAUAACCCCAACAGAUGUCAAAAGCAAUAUUACUUAUGGAAAAUAGCAACAGUUGUGAUUGUAGAGUAGUCAUGGAAAAAAUGAGAAAGGAAGGAAAUGUAUGAGCAAAAAAGACCAUAGCUAGAGCAAGGGAUUAUGGAUGGAAUGGAUGGGUGGACAAACGAAUGAAAGUAUGAGUGAACAGAUGAACAGCUCUUUGAUGCUUUUUGGUAGCCCCUAGAUGUAAAGAGAAAGUGAGGUCAACCCCAGCAUGGAUAAGUCCCUUGUGGAACGAACACUUAUGGAAGGCCACAGACAGGCAUUGCACUGCACAGGCUGGCAUGACCCUACUGUGCUGGCACUGCAACUGGAUCUGGAGCUUUCUUUUUGGAGGGAAUAUGCUCAUCAAUAAGAUCACACAUCCAUUUGAGUAUUUCUGAGGAAGAGAUAGGAGACUUUUAACAGUUGCAGAGCCAAACUUUUACUGGUGAAACGUUCUAGUAAGGAAAACUGUAAAAUAAUGAUAAUAUGAAUUAGGAAAUUCCAAAUAUGAGAAAAGAUAUGCUUGAAUUCUUUUUGAAAUCUUCCUUUAAAUUGAUGGAACAUUUCUUUAUAUCUCUAAUGUCAGACAAUUUAGGACAAAAUUAUAUGCUACCAUUUGCCCUAUUUAUACUGUGUUAGUUCUGUUCCCCCCAGCUAGGUUGUAAGAUAGCAAAUAAAGGACCACAUCUUAAGAUUUUUUGUCUCCCUCUAUGAAAUAGCUAGCACAGUGCUAAACAUCUAGUUGGUGUUCAUUCAGCACACACAUUUGCUCCUUGUUUAAUUGAUCUUUGCUAAUCAGGCUCCUCUCUUUUUUUCAACCAAACAAGUUCUUGUGUGUGCUGUAUUAUGUGUUUUUAUCAGAUGUCACAGGUGAAACACAAGAUCUUGGCAUGGAAAGAAGGGGAGAGUUCCAGGUGUUUGUGUUUUUUUAGUAUGCAAAUGCAUUUUCUAUUUUUGAAGUUUCAUAUAAAAGAUUUGCUAUUUGAAUUAUUUUUUGAUCAGCUUAGUAUUUAACUUCUGUGUGACCUAAGUAAGAUUACCAAAAUGCUCUUUGAACCAAACUGUGAACCAACAGCCAGAAUGAACCGCACUCAUUUUCUGAAACCUGACCAGACAUUGCUGCUAUUCUUUUUUUUAACUGAACAGCGAACUGAGCUAAAGUAUGUUUUAUAAGCAUAGCUAAUGAACCAGUUCAAACUGGAACUGGACUAUUUUCAAAAACUAUUGAACCAGAAUAUAAAGAUAUUCACCAAAGGAAUAUUUCAUUCUGUUUGAGACUAUAGCUGAAAUAAUGCAGAUUUUAAUAUGGCAAGAAGACUUCUGUGAACUGAUUCAUAGUGAAGUGAGUAGAACCGGGAGUACAGUAUGCAUAAAGACUUAGAACAGUUAAAUGAAACAGUGAUGUCUAAUUGUAGUCAUGUGAGGCUUGGUCCCCAAGAGGAGUUGAGAAAGAAAACUAGCCUUUCUUCCCUUGUAAAGGUGAGAGUAUGGCUAUAGCAUACCGCACACACUGUCAGACUGCAUGAGUAGUUUUUUUUUUUUUUAAUCUCUGUUACAAAAGAAGGUUUGGCAGGUAGGAGAGUAAAAUAUAUUUUGGCUAUAAAUGACAAAAACAAAAAACAUCAAUUAAUACAAUAAGCCACCUCUGAGAAAGAAAACCUUGGGUUUAGAAAUUGUUAAUGUGGAAUUCUAGAUCCAUUUAAAUACAACUAUGUGUAGUUGAUGCAUUAUUUUAGGUCAUUAUUGCCUUUCUGACAAAGCACCUCUGUAGAAAACCAUUUUUAUCUUAGAGCACUAGAGCAUGAUACUAGGUGGCACUAAUUGAUGACCCAAAACGUUGUGUGUAGUUUGAUGGGCUAUUUCAUUAUUCCCACAUGUAGAUACUAGGGAAAAUAUUUGUAGAAGUGAUGCUUCACUUUACCAUUUGUAUUUAUCACCAAAUAAUUUAGUGUAUUUGACUUAAUUUAUAUUACUGCUGAGUUUAACUAGUUUAAUAACUUACCCAUGUUGGAAAUUUUCAUAAAAGUAGUGAGCCUCCUAUUAGCUUGCUGGUAGAGAUGCUGUUUGGCAGUUCACAGUUUAAGGUUUCGUUAACAGCUAGCUACCUUCUGCAGUUUCUCUCCACCUGAGGAUUUCCACUUUAUUUGUUGAUAUGAUUGUGCAGCACAGCCUAUGAUGCAUUCACUGCACAGUAGUAGGAUGGUAUAUAGAAUACAGGUAUAUCUUCAGGUGCGUAGAAUACAGCCUUCCCUUAUGAGACUCCAUUCCCCACCCCAUCACCCAUACAGAUAUUUUCAUAGCAAACAAAGCUUUAGUCAUUAAUUUAGUGAAUUUGGCAUAAAUCAAUCAUUUUAUAUAUGGCACAGGAGAAAAUAUUUGUGUUUCCUUUGAAAAUUUUACAACCUUAGAAAAAAGACUCCAGGAACUAAUGAAAUUUGUAUUUUAGAGGAUUAGUGGAGGUUGAGAAAACUUUUUUUUUUUUUUAAGCGAAAAUGAGAGCUCUGAACCCUGCCACAGUCAGGAAUAGUUGAGCAGAUAACCAAAGACUGGAGCAAACUGACACCUGCUAAUGCUGAAAUGAAAAUGAGUCUGGGGGAUGCUGCCUAGUCAAGUUUCAGUUUGAUUUGAGUUGCGUGAUGGGAACAGGUUCCCAGGAAUCUACUAGAAUGAAACUAAAGCAAAGUUGGAACUUGUGGUUUAUGCAAGCAAAACUUGUCAAAACCUUUGAAGUACUCAACAUCACUGUUGUCACUGCUAAUAGAACCUAAUCAUACUCCUGUUUAGUAGUGAGCAAAGAAGUAGCUUUCAAUGUGGUUAUCAUAUUCAACUAGUAAAAGCGGGGACUUGAUUGUUUGGGAGGCAUGGAUUUAUAUAUGCUAGAAGGGUUUGUUCCUUUUGGUUUUGUUGGAUGACAUGAGAAGGGGAUUACUUUAUAGAAUAUGGACUGAGGACCAAGAAGACUGGUCUGUAGCUGUAGCCAGAUCUGAGAAUUUAGAACUUGAAGAACCCUGGGGUGGAAAUCUUUUUUAAUUCCAACCCCUUCAUUUUUUACAGACAAGGCAACUGAAUAUGACCAGAGAGGUUAAAUCAUUUGUCAUAGAUCACACAGGUAAUAAAUAUAACUAGAAUUGGAAACGAGAACUUCUAUAAUUCUUUACAAUCCGUUGUGUUCUGCAUUGCAUGAGGGAGGAAAGUGUUUGAUGUAUGUCCUCUUCCUUCAACUUUUAUUAUUUUUAAAAAUAGCAUCUGUGGUUUGGACUUAGCAGGUGUUAGCAAUGUUAACAUUUAGGAUUAUAGAUCAUAAAUCUAGAGGUCAUCUAGUCCCACUCCCUCCUUGUAAAAUCUUUCAUGAUGAGGCAGUUGAAGCCCUGAAAGAUAGAGCUUUUUGGGGAGAGACAGCCAAACAGUGUUGGGGGCAGGGUGGGAUCUUGUGACUCCCAAUCCAGAUCUUCUGCUGCCUCACAUGCUGCAUCAUUUAGGAAGACUGGGUAUUUAUGUACCGGUAAGUUAACAUUUCCUUUUCACAGCAAUAGCAAUGAAGGAAAAACUUCUCUUUGUGUAAAGUUUAAUACUGAUGAAAAUCCAUUUUAAAUUUUGUUUGGAUGCAGAAUUUUGAAAUCAUGAAGAAUUUGAUAAAGGUGGAAAUGUAGCUCUAAGCCAGAUGAUUAAUCUAUUAAUUAAUGACUUCAUAUGUAGGGAAGUGAUUGUUUAAGUCCACCCAUCUCCAUCUCCCUGGGAAAACCAGGCACAAACAUUCCCCUCUUCUUUCUGCCCUCUUCCCCAGUAGCAACUCUUACAUGGUAGAUUGUGGAAUAACUAUGGUUGGAAUAACUAUGGUAUAUGCUUUUAAAGAAUCAUGGGAAAUAUUGGCAUCAGAGAAAAUGGUACCCAAGCCAAUUUUGUUACAUAUAUUUUUUCAGGUGAAGAAUCUGCAUUAUGAAAUAGUUUUUCCACUUUUGGCAGAAAUUAAGAAUUAUCGUCUCAUUGUGGGUCAUCACCGUGAAAAACAUCAAUUAGAAGAAACAGAACCUAAGCAAUGAAAAAAAAAUGGUAGCUUUUCUAGUUGUCCAGAAAUCCAUGAGAUUGGAUUGGAAAUGUAUGUCUGUAUUAUUCUUUUUAACAAUAGGAAGAGAAACUGGACUUUUAAGAUGGACCUCCCAGAUGAGGAAAUUUUACUAUUUGUAGGCAGUCUGUAGUUUUAGAGGAUACCUAAACUCCAGUUCCUAGAGCACUAGGAAGUUAAAAGAAUUUGCCCAGGGGCUGAAUGUGAACUCAGAUCUUCCUGGCUCUGAGGCCAACUGCAUCUACUCAUCUACCUCUCUGUGCGCCUUUAAAAAAAAAAGGAUAAUAGCAAAACCAAGAAAACAACGAAUGUACAUCAGAAAAGAAAAGCAAAUGGAUGAUGUGCCUAAUGAAUUUCUUCACUGCAGAAGCUGAAGGGUCUGGAAUGCUGAGAGUUUCUUAAGAGUUGGUGCUACUUCAUGGAAAUAAGAUGGGCUCAGUUGUAUUCAAAAGAAAAAAGUUUAAAUCUGUUCUACCCUGGAGGGGGGGGAGUGUUACACCAAAAGAAAGAAAAACCUUUUUUUGUCCAACAAAAAUAUGAAAAGAUAUUUUUUAAUGAAGAUAAAAAUGUUACUUUUUUCCUUUAAAAGCCCACCUGUAGAGAUAUUCUUAUCUCAGUGUAAGAGCGAGCCAACACCUUAAUGGGAUGUUAGUGUAUUUUCUUUGCACCUGGUGGCCUCAGGAUUUCUGUAUGUUUGGGAAGUGGAGUAGAAUUGGAAUGCCAUUUAACAGCUACUUGAACUGCUUCUGUUUGAUUCAUUCAGAAUUCCCAAACAUCUGAGAAGUCACUGUAGAGGUUGUAGCUAUCUAUACAUAUUUCCUUAAUAUCCUGGCUUUGCUGUGCUGAGGGAAAUAUACUGACUUCUUGUCUGAUCAGAAACUUCCAUUUGUCAUCUAACCUUUGAGUAAAAAGAGACCUUGGGUGGAGGCCCUUUUCAUAUUAUAGGAUUGUAAUUGGGAUUGGCUUAUUAUAAUUCUUUGCACAUCUAUUAUACUCCAGUGAGUUCUUUGUUGUCUAGGACAUCUAAUUCAGAUGAGCAAUGAUUGCCUAACCAAAAUAGCUUGUCAGUUUGAUCCUAUUAUAGCUUUAGGGAAACUCAGAGGGUGCUCCAGGCAAAAGUUGCAAUGCUGUCUGUUAGUGGACAUGUGACAAAUCUUGAUGGUCCUGGCCUAGUGGCUCCAGUUGAGGUAUUCAAUCAGGAGACCUUUAAAGACUGGCAUUUGGGCACUACAAAAGAUAGAUUCUAUGAAAGUAGUUUACAGUUGACAUUUAACAGUUAGUGAUUGUAAUGUGUGAAAAGCAGUGAUAUCUUGGUAUUGAUCAUUGCUCUUUAAGCUGUUUCACAUAAGCAUUUGAAUAUAUUUGAUUAACCAGAAAGAUUUAGCUCAUCAAAUUUGACCUAUGAAAGUAUGAGAGCAUACUUCCAUUUUGACAUUUCAAGAACUGCCAUUCAACUAAAGGACCUACUGUGGAGCCAAGCUAAGUAUCGUGCUAAAUUCUCAGGGUGGCAAAAGAAGUUGCUCCCUGCUUUCAGGAAGGUUAUGUUUUAGUCAAAAAGACAAGAUAUGCCAGAGAGUUAAGUAGUGAUGUAUUGUAUCAUGUCAGGCACUGGAAUCAGGGGUUCAGAGUGUUUUGUGGAAAAGUUUGAAUUGGAUUUGGAUGGGAGAGGGACAGCCCACAUGAGAAGAAACAACAAAACUAGAGCUGUUGAGGCAGAAAAUUUGACUGGUAGAGAAGUUUCAUAGUGAAAGUAAUUAGUAAAUAAGAUUGGAGGUGAAGAUCUUAGAUUGAAGAUCCUGGAAAGCUGGGGAGAAGAGGUGAGAAUUGAGUGAGUUGAGUAAGCAAUAAUGAGCCUUCCUAGAUUUUUGAGCAGAGAUAAUAGCAUGGUAGUAGGAAGGUUGAGUUUUAUAGAAGCAUUCCAAAUAGUGGAGAAAGAGAAGGAGUUUAAGAUAGAAAUUACCAUAAUCUAGAUGUGAAGAGAUAUAUCAGAGUAGUAGCAGUAGAGAGAAAGGUGUGUGUGUGUAUAUAUAUGUAUGUAUGUAUGAAUGUAUGUAUGUAAGAAAUCUUUAGAAAAAUAAAUAGACAUCACUGGUGAUUGUAUGGACAACAGAACAACAGAAGGGCAAGGGCUAGGUAAAAUGAGAUAAAGUAACUUGCCCAGAGUCACACAGCUAGGAAAUAUCUGAGGCCAGAUUUAAACCCAGGUUUUCCUGACUCCAGGCUGUCUUUAUCUGUUGUACCACCAAGCUACUCCUGGUAAUUGGUUUCUGAUGUGUAGCCUUCAGGUAAUCAUGGGCCAGACUACUAAGAAGAAAUAUUUAAUAAGUAGGUAAAAAUAUGGAACUGGAGCUCCAUUUGAAAAUUUAAGGUUGAUGUUAGUCAUAAUUUACUAUAGUGAUAAGUUUAAAGAUAUUAGAAUGAAUGAAUUCCCAAAGAAGAGCAGAGGGCCAAGAAUGGCUUAAGGACCUCCUUAAGUUAGGAGGUAGAAGGAAGAAGAGGCAGGAGUAGGUGAAAAAACAAGGUUAUAAUAGGCCUUAAGAGAAGAGAGAAUUAUAGAAAAGGUGUUUUUGAAAAAUUCACCAGGACUUUUCUUUGUUUGGUACAGAAAAUAUAUUGAAUUCAAAAAGUUCUUCAACAAAUCCUGAGUGAUUAUUUAGUUGCUGAAACUUGGUGUGGAUGUUGAAAGUAUCAUUUCUUUGGAAAGAGGGAAGGAAGUGAAAGAAAUGAAUGAAUCUGUUUUGUAUUGGUAUGGAUGCUUGUUGGUCUUCAUGAAGGCAGUAUUUGUGUGCAAGUAUAGUUUAAUAAGACAACUAUUUAGAAUUAGAGCUAGUAUGUACCUUAUGAUAUCAUUCAGAGGAAUGAUUCAGAAUUGGGAUUUUCCCAAUUCUGAAAUGAGGAGUGUUCAAGAAUUAGGUUAUUUCCUUUUCAGAUAUUUCCAUAUAUUCCUAAAAUAUGGCUCUUGGAAGUGGGACUCAUUCAAGUACCUGAAGUUUUUUUAUUUAAAUCUAACAAUACAAAUACUGUAUUUAUGGAGGAGCAGUUUACCUUGUUAUUAUCAAGGUGAAAUUACUUGUUUAUUUUACAAAUUUUCAGAAAUAUUUUUAAACUUUUAUUUAUAAAUUGGUAAAAAAAAGUUUUCUUUAUAGUGAUGUCAAAGGAGAUUUUGGGUAGAAUGCUUACUUUAGUAAACUGAUUCUGAGUUUUGUUUUUUCUUUUAGGUGCCCCACCCAAGUGCAGAGGGGAGAUUUUGUCUGAACUUGGGCAGGGUUCUUCUGCCUAUUUUCAUCUGUGUAUUUCUCUGAAAAUAGGCCAUAGCAUUUAAUGUUUACUUUUAAGUUUGGCAAAUUCAUUAUGUAGGUGCUUAACCACUGUGUUUUUACCCUCUUAUAGGAAAGGCCAAUCUCAAUUUAUCUGAAACAUUAUUUUAGUUCUUUCAUAUUUUUUAAUGAAUAUCGACUUUUUCAAAUUGGAUUGUGUAUGUAGGCGAUUUUGACUCAGUCAUUAACUUAUGUCAGAGAUUGGAGGCUUGACCAGAUUCUUCUGCUGUGCCAAUUAAGUUUAUUUUUUAAAAUCUAGAAAUCAUCUAAUUUGUCCAGUAGAGGACAUUUCCAUGAUUUUUGGAGGGCCCUGAUUGUGUGAAGUAGCUGAAAACAAAAUUGAAUGCUGGUUCUCAGUGUUUGUGUCCCUUUCCACUUAGAUCAGAUGUCCUCCAUUGAUUUUUCUUUCCUUUUGUCAUUGCGGUGGUUUUGUUGUCUAAAGUUCCCUGUCUUCCUUUCAACCCAAGAGGUAGUGAACUCUGGGGGUCAUCAGCAAACUCCUUACAAGGGAAUUUUUUGGGGGGGUUGGAUUUUUUUCUGCCUAUUUUGACCUAAAAUCCCCUUGGUCUCAGAUAGGGAAAUAAUUGGUAUGGGAAAGAAACUUGUAUCCUACAAAUAAAGUUAAAAUCACUUUUUAGUCAUUCAGUCUUUGACCUACAUUGCUAAGGUUUUUUUUUUCCUUGCUUCUACAUAUGAAUAAAAUUACCCAGCCAAUUUAACAGGUUGUUUUUCUUCUCUGUUAAUUUUCUUAAUGUUUCAUGACCAUGGAGAGCUUGAGAUUUGCAGGUAUGAGAGUGAUUUGAAAUAAACUGGGUGGCUGUUUUCACUGUAUUAUAUAUAUAUAAGUACCCAAAGGGUACAAUUUUGGGUUAUUGUCUCAUUGCACUUAGAAGUUGAUAUACUGCAGGGCAUAAACUCCUUUUCCCUUUCUUUUCUACCUAAUACCCCUGAUUUUGAAUUGUUUGGAACUUGUAUAGCUAUCCUUAGGGUUGAGAAUUUAGUGACAUAAAUAGGAAAUUUGGGUAUUGCUCAAUAACAGACUUGUUUGCAAAAGUUGACAUGUUCUCAUUCAGAGGGAGCCACAGUAUGGGUGUGAAUUGAUUGUAUGAGCAUUUGAUCAGUGGCAUUUUAAAAAAAGCUAACCAUAUCAAGUCUCCAGCUGUGUCCUAGCCAUCUUUUUCAGUGUUCAGUUGGUCAGGAUGACCAGUUAAUAUGAGAUUUGCAGUCUGAAGGCCUGGGCGCAGGUCCCAGAACUACCACUAAUUACCAGUGUGACCUUGGGCAAGUCUCUUCUCUUGGGCCUCAUUUACUCAUUUGUAAAAUGAAGGAGUUGAACUUAAUGACCCUUGAGGCCUCUUUUUAGCUCUAAAUUUGUGAUCCUAAUAAAUAAUACAAUUUAAAUCUUCUUAAACCGAGUCUAGUUUGAUUUUAGAUACAGUUUUUAAAAUUACUGAAAUAAAUGGAGUUCAGGGAGCUUUGUUUCUACAAGAAUUACAUGUAGAUAUACCCUUGGACAUAGCUUCUUCAUGAAGUACAGUAAUAUUAAACAGGUAUUAUUGUUAUGAUUCUUUGGAUAAUAUUUCUAGCUUCUUGGCAGCAUACUGAGAAAAUUUAUAAUACCUACAACUUGAAAGUAAUAAUUCAGAAAUAUAAUUCUAACAGUUAAUACAUUAAAAUUUUGAUCAGUCUUUCCCAAUUUUUUAAAUUUUCUCCCUCUUUUAAGAAAUAUAACUUUGAAAAGCUUUCAGAGAAGAAAAGAGUGUAAGAACAAAGAAAUAAAAGAACAGAAGUAAAAGUUUCAAAUACAAAUUGGAAAGUCAAUAAUAUAUGUGAAAAUUUAGUAAUUUUUGGAAAAUCCUGACUAUGAAACUUUUCCCCAAAAUUUAACUGGAUUAUGGAACAUCCUGAAUUGGAUAUCUCAUAGACAUCCUAAAUCCAAUGUGUCCAAAACAAUAGAUUCUUUCCCCCCAAAUCCCUUCCCCUUUUUGAAUAUUCCUAUUAUUCUUGAGGAUAUCACAGUCUUCCUGUUGUGCAGGCGUACAACCCUAGAUAUCAUCCUUCUCUCCUUACUCUCACUUGCCUCCCCAGUAUAUCCAAUUUGUUGCUCAAGUCUUCACUAUUUUCCUUUGUAACAUCUCUCAUAUAUACCCCUUUCUCUGACACUGCCAUCACUCUGAUGCAAACCCCCAUUACUCAACCCCUAGACAGUUGUAAUAGCCUAGUGGGAAGUCCCUCUGUCUUGAGUCUCUCUCCACUCUUCUAGUCCAUUUUAUACUCAGGGGUCAAACCGAUCUCCUUAAAUCUCCAAAUUGACCAUGUUAUCCUUCCUGCUCAGUAAAUUCCCUUUCUCCUCCAGGAUCAAAUAUAAAGUCCCGUAUUUGGCUUUCAGAGGCCAUCCUAAUCUGACAUCCUCCAACCUUUUCUAUCUUCUUAUGCCUUAUUCAUCAUAGACGCCCUUGUUCCUUGCGCAAGAAAGUGGAUGUCUUCUAACUAGGCAUUUUCAGUAGCUGCCUAGAAUGCUCUGCCUCUUGACCUCUCUCAAAUUCCAGCUAAAAUCCCACAUUCUACAGGAAACCUUUCCUUAUCCCUUUUAAUUCUUGUGCUUUCCCUCUAUUGAUAAUUUCCAAUUUAUCCCUCAUAUAUCUUGUUUGUAAGUAAUUGUUUAUAUGUAGUCUCCCCCAUUAAAAUGUAAGCUCUUUGGGAGCAGGGUCUUUUAACUUUGUAUCAUCAGUGCUUAGCACUGUGCUUGGUACACAGUAGUGCUUAAUAAAUGUUAUUGACUGAUUUAUUAUUGGUUGUGUAACUGUAUAGUGGUCUCUUUUCCGGAUUAGUCUUAUUUGGAGAAUCCCAUUGAAAAGGUUUUUUUCUUGAGUGUUUUUUAGAAAACACAAAGAAUUUCUCUUAGAACUUAAAGGAAUUUCUUAGCAAAUUUUUCAAAAAAAAUUUGUUAUUCUCUUCAGUCUAGGAAUCCUACCUUCCUACCCCCAGCAAAUAAUUAUAACAUUCUGGAAUUUUCUAUUGAGGGAAUCUGGGAUCUUAGAGAUAAUAUGUAGGCCCAUUCCCUCUUUUUUCAGAUAAAGAAACUCACACCUGGAGAAGAGAAUGAUGAGACUCAUCCCUAAAGUUACUCAGCAACAGAGCCAGAAUUAGAACCUAUAUCCCUCCUCACUUCUAGUACAGGACUCCUUCCUCACUAAAUAGCCCUAUCUUGCUGCCUCUAGCAAGUAAUACUUGUUUAAUAUUUGUGGAAAAGAGAUGGCAUUUUCAAAUUAAUUUUUUAAACUCUGCUUAGAAAAUGGCAAAAGUGAGUUGUAUUAGGUUUGUAUCACUACUUCUCCAAAUUUUUAAAUUGUGAACCACAACUUGUAGUUCAGGCCUGGGUUGAGACCCUUUUGGUGGCAAUCCAGACUUGUUCUGUUUUGUGUUAUGUAUCCACUUAGAAAGGCUAUUUCCAUUGAAUUCUAUUUGGCUUUGCUUCUAAUCUGGAUUCAAAUUUGCAUGUUAAGAAUUGAAAGGCUAAUAAGGUACCAGCUCACUGUGCCAUGUAACAAAGUCUGCACAUUCUUCAGCUAGCAAAGGAACUGUAAGUCUUUAAGCAUGUGACUCUUGGGUUGCUUUUUAUUCUUUUAAAAAUACUUUGUAAAAAAUUCAGUGUGAAUCAAAUGUGUCAUUGAAUGUGUACCAGUCAAAACUAGGCUUCAGGCAGUAUGGAAAUAUUCCAUUCUCCCACUUCACUUUUUGUGAUCCUUAGCUCAAGUUAGGAAUUGGGGACAAAUUUCUUUAGAAGAGUGUCCUGUGAAAAGACAACUGAAUCUUGACAAUAAAGCUCGUGUCUUGUUUCACAGUUUUGUCACACAAGACAUGUUUAAAGAUAUUAUAUAGUUGAUGCUAAUUAAAAAAUACAUUUUGUGCUCAUGAUGCUGUGCUUUGCAUAACCCAAUUCAGUAUUCUGUAUUUUUCAAUACCAAAUAAUUCUAUUGUUAACUUCUCAAUAAAAACUCAAUUUCAGUUUUUAAAAAAAUGAGCCAUUAUUUUCCAGAGUAAUCAUCUCUAUGUAUAGAACAGGAUUCUCUAAAGAACUGGAUUUGAAAGUCAGAAGUAUUAGCCAUUUGUGUGUGCAGUCUGGGGUAUAUCUAAAACUCCUAUUGUGUACCAAGGGCAGCUAUAAGUGAUUUGAAAUAUAAUAAUAAUAAUAAUAUGAUUUAACAGCUAACAUUUAUAUAAUUCCUGCUAUGUGCCAGACACUAUGCCAAGCACUUUAGAGUCAUUUGAUCCUCACAAAAUCCCAUAUGAUUUUAUAGAUAAAGAAACUGAGGGAAACAGACUUGCCCAGGGCCACACAGCUAAUAUUCAUCUGAGGUCACAUUCAAACUCAGGUCUGAUUUUUUAACUCCAGGUGCUACACUUUAUCAACUGCCUCUAACCUGACAGCUUUACAACAAAUCUUUAAAAGUGGAGUGUGUCGCUGUGUGCCAAAACUUGAACUAUGACUGUAAGAAGGACAGAAAACAUUGUUUUAUUGAAUUGAACCCAUCAUUACAUGGUUUUGUACUAUAAACCACCCCACCCCCAGUGAAGGAACUGUAAUUCAGACAUCAAUGACUUUUGACAGACUGUAAAUUGAGAGGUUGCUGAUCUUGGUUUAUGCAACACAGUUAUGUACCUGCAAGUAAGAUGCUUGAUUUCUUAAAGCACUUCAGCUUGCAAGAGGCUGAAGCAGAAGGGCACAAGGUUGUUUCUCAGCUUUUGGAACCUCAUGAUGUGAACUUUUGGGUGUAUUUAAUUCUUUAGGAGGAGGAAAUGUGCCAAAAGUGUCAAUGUGUGAUCUUACUGUCCUUUUAAUUCUUUUCAAAGCAAACUGUCUUUCUUAGAUGACCUGGUUUGUUUUUUUUUAAUGAUUAAUAAAAACAGACCAAGUAAAAGUCUUAUUUCAAGUACAUUUUUAUAAUUAGACCUGUUGGCAAAACAUAUAAUGACUUGGUUACACAAAGAAGUCUGAAUACUAUACUGUAGUUGCUUGCUUUGUGUUCUCAUCUUCCUCUAUUAUAACAGAGUAGAAUACAGACUUCUAUUUACCCAGGUUUUAUGGUUUUAGAUGUAUUCAAAGCUGAUCUAGUGCCAGGGCUUAGCUAUAAUAGGUAUUUGUGUUUUUGCUAUCAAUAUUGCCAAUAUUUCAACAUUUAUUGAUUAAGAUGGGAACUUACUUUGGUAACAAGAUACUUUAAUUUGAAUAAUUGGAAUGUUUUUUCAAAAAGUUGUCAAUGACAUGAAUUUUGUCGCGCUAAUUGGCUAUAGUUAUCAAUUAAUUUCUGCUUCUCUUUAAGUGGCUUAUUUAUUUAUUUGAGACAUUAUUUCUGAUCUCUUUAAAAGAAUCUGUGGUGGUGUGGAUAUUCCCUACAUCAGGAAAAUUACAAUGCAGCUUCAAUAAAUAGUCUUCUGAGUUAACAAAAAUUUCGUCCCUUAUUAGCUAGGCGUUUGUUGAUGAACCUUUCUGAAUUUAGCUAGCUUUAUUAAAACAUAAACCAUAUACCUAGUUUAUGACCAGGCCUAUAUUCCUAACUUCUGCUGGUCUAGUCUUUAAGAUUAGAAGACCACCUCCAGGCCACAAUGAAGAUUGAAGUCCUUCAAUGAGUGAUUCUCCCCACCCCCCUUAUCUUAAUUGUUUUCUUGAAGUGUUACUACAAUAUUCAGCAAAUAUUUAGAAUUUGAAAGUACUUUUAUACUAGUAUUUUGAAUACACAGUGGUCUUGUUUUCUUUAGAGCAUAACAACCCUUAUUAAAAUUUUUUUCAGACUUUAUCUACAGAGCAAUCUUGUAGAUCAUAUAGUUUACAGAAUGUACUUGAUAAAGUACAGAUUAAGUCAUGCAGGAUAAUAAACUUUGUAUAGUGAUUAAUAUUCCAUGCCACUUUUUUUGUGGCACUAAGAAAUUUAAGUGAUCAAGACAGCUAGCUAGUAUAGCAGACAGAAUGUAGGAUCUGGAAUCCAGAAGACCUGAGUUCAAAUCCAGACUUGGAUACUAACUAGAUAUGUGACCCUGAGAAAGUUAUAAUGCUAUUUGCCUCAGUUUCCUUAUCUGCAAAAUAGAGAUAAUAUAAUAGCAUCCUCCUCACAUGAAAUAGUUGCAAAAAGCACUUUUCAAACCUUAAAGCAUAGAAAACCCCUUCCAUCAGUGCAGACAGACAACCCAAGACUUAGUCAUCAGUUCUUUAUUCUUGGACAUUUGCCCUCAAGUACGUUAUUUGUUUGUAGCCACUCUCCUCUCGAAUCCAUGAUAGCUACAUCUCCCUUGAUAGCAGGCGUAAUGUAGAUUUUUACCAUUUGAAAUUUUCUUCCCUUACAGAAUUUUAAAAAAUAGUUUAUACUCUGGCUCACUUGAGCUAUAUUGCUCUUAUAGUUGAAGAGUUGGAGUUUUUAUUUUAAGUGAAUAACCACCAUCAUCACCCUCCUCUAACUACCCCCUGAAUUUACUCAUGCUACUAAGCAGUUGCUGCCAAUUAAAAUCUGUCAUUAAUCAAUUCUUAACAAAAUGCUGCCAGAAAAAUGGUCUGAAAGAAAUAGUGGUGAAUUCAACUGGUUUAAAAAGUUUAGUUUAUUGUCGAGUGAUAUCUUUUGCAUUUAUUACACUUAAAUACUUCCUAGAAUAUACCUCUGUCUUUCCCUCCCAGAGAGCCAUCCUUUCUAACAGAAACAAAAAAAGUUCAGGAAACCUGACCAAUAUAUAAAAAAAUAUAUCAACAUUGUAUGUAGUAUUCUAUAUCCCUAGACCCUGCCUCUUAAAGAAGCAGGUACAGAAUGGGAGGUACCUUUUCAUAUCACAUUUUGGGGACAUGCUUGGUUCAAGUCAUUUUAAAGAAACUUCUCCACUAACAAAUUGAUGUCGCAUUCUUUUACAUUUGCCCUACCUUUUAGGGGCAGAAAAAUGAUUGCAUCUUGAGCUCCUUUUGCUUCUUGGAAGGUCCUAUCCUGUUGUCACUGGUAAUUUCUCAUGAAUAUGGAAUAAUCCUGAGUUAAUCAUUUGCCUUUCCUUCAUUUUUUAAGGCCAUUUUACUGGCCCCUUGCAUUGAAAUGGCUAAAUUUAAGCAUUUAACUAGGCUUUUGGUUUUUUCCCCAUGGAGGUGAUCUAUGAAUUCUUUCCAUUCCUGCUUUGUUUUUCAAAAGUUCUGGACAUUUUUUCCCCUAUUCUGUCUUGCUUUGUGAUAGUAGGGUUUAUUUAUUUUUUUAAUUUGUGAUGUUUUCUCCUGGGAAAUCUAUAAAUCUCUGUGCAUCUAGUCUUUAAGGUACAUCACUUGGACCUACAUAGAAUUUGUGUUCUUUCAAAAAUAUUCUUUUAAAAGUUGCAUCUCUUCUACCAAGUUUUCCUCUACUUAAGUAUUUUUAUAUUCUGAAUCACUAUCACAGCUUUUUACUUAAUUGAAGAGAUUUUCCAUGUGUUAAAUCCUGACUAUUGUAAUUGUUUUUACAUUUUGCAUUGAAAGCUAUAAUUUCUAACCUAAAAAUUCAUUCUGAAUUUCUCUUCUGUAAAAUUCCUUUAGUUCUCUUUUAAACCCUUGUGAAAUUUCUUCCAGUAUUCAGUGAUCUGUGGGGAACUGGCAAUAUUCUAAAUUUUAUCAAGCAAUAUUAGUUCACUUUCCUUUGUGUUAUUUUAUUUUCAUAUAUGUGUACAUGUACAACACUCUUACCUUCUGUCUUAGAAUCAAUAUUGUGUAUUUGUUCUAAGGCAGAAAAGUGGUGACGGUUGAAUGGCUUGCUUGGAAAUAUCAGACCAAAUCUGAACCCAGGACCUUUCAUCUCCACUGAACCAUCUGUGUUACUGUGUGUAACACUGUGUGUCCUGUGUUACAAUAUUUUUUAAUGGUCAUUUAUUUCAUUUUGAGGUUUCACUCCUUCAGUUUUCAGGAGCCUCUCUGUUAGUGUCAUCUGUUUGUACCCUCAUUCAGGUUUUCUCCAUCAUACUCCUCCUUUCUGCACUAUUUUGACACCUCCCCUUUCCACUAGUACACAUAACAGGCACUCCACCCACAUCUAGAGCUAAACUACAUGGCUGCCCCUGUCUCUUAUGUUUGGGGAAGUGGGAUUGCUGAACUAGGUCUCUCCUGCCCCAGGGUUGGUUUGCAGGGAAGGGAAUGUGGUAGGGAUCCCUGGUUGGGUUUUCUAGUUCCAUUUGAAUUAGCCUGAGUUGCUCGAUUGAAGUUGUGGCUAGGCAAAAAUCUGUGGCCACUCCUUCUUGCAAGGGGAGAGUCAGGACAGUAUUUAGGUAUCCCUCUUUGGGGAGAGGGGAAGUCAGUCAUCAUAAGCUGGUGAGUUUGUUUGUGCUCCGAGUGAGAAUUCUUUUUUUUUUAAUUUAAUAUUUUUUCCCAAUUAUGUGUCAAAGCAAUUUUAACAUUUGUUUUUUAAAAGUUAGAAUUCUAAAUUCUCUCCCUUCCUUCCCCCUAUCUGAGAUGGCAAGCAUUUGAUAUUAGUUAUAUGUGUACAGUCAGAAUAUAUGUCCAUAUCAGACAUGUGAAAGAAAACAGACAAAAAAAACCCCUAGAAAGGGGGCUUUUAAAAGUAUGCUUCAAUUUUCAUUCAGACUCCAUCAAUUCUUUCUCUGGAGGCAGGUGACAUUUUUCAUCAAAAAUCUUUGGAAUUAUCUUGAAUCACUGUAUUGUUGAGAAUAGCUUAGUACAAUUGAUCAUUAUACAAUAUUAUUAUUAUGUACAGUAUUCUGGUUUUGUCCAUUUCACUUUGCAUUAGUUCAUAUAGAUCUUAGAUUUUUCUGAAACCAUCCUGCUCAUUACUUAUAGCACAACAGUUUUCCAUCACAAUCCUAUACCACAUCUUGGUCAGCCAUUCCUCCAUUGAUGGGCAUCCCUUCAAUUUCUAAUUCUUUGCUACCACAAAAAGAGCAUUAUAAAUAUUUUUUUGUACAUGUAGAUCCGUUUCUUUUUUCUUUGAUCUCUGAAAUUCAGUCCUAGUAGAAUUGCUGAGUGGAAGAAUAUGCACAGUUUAAUAGCCUUUUGGGCAUAAUUACAAAUUGCUCUCCAAAAUGGUUGGAUCAGUUCACCAUUCCACCAACAAAUAGUGUAUUGGUGUCCCAAUUUUCCCACAUCUCCUUCAUCUUUUUCUGUCUGUCAUACUACCCAAUCUGAUAGGUUUGGAUGGUACCUAAGAAUUGUUUUUAUUUCUAUUUUCUCUAAUCUAAUUUGUAUUUUCUCUAAUUAAUAGUGAUUUAGAGCAUUUUUUUCAUAUAACUAUAGAAAACUUUGAUUACUUCACUUGAAAACUGUGCCUGUUCAUAAUCUUACACCAUUUAUCAAUUGGAGAAUGACUUUUAUUGAGAAUUCUGAAGUACUCAAAUUACCCUGUUAUGGAAGAAAUAGUUGUUUCUCUUUAAUGGAAUCAGCUGUAAUUACUCUAUAUCUGAUGCCUACUUUCAUUUGAGGUUUUUAGAAGUUUGAAAAGAUAUACAGACAGCAACUUCCACCUUUAGUCACAUGAUGUUUCUUUUCAGGGCAGAGUACUGAAAUAAAAACUUUAAAAUAGGCUAAUAGGAUUUCAUAGCUUAUAUGAGAGAGCUUAUUUCCAGCAUAAAAACAUUUUCUGCUUACCUAUGUUAUGAUUCAGUAGUAAAAGUGAUUAAAUCUGUCUACCUUUAGAUUUGAUUGGGACAAAACUUCAGUGCUUAUAUUAAGUUUUAACACCAGGAUCCUAUUAUAGCAUUGUUUUCAGCGUCCAAAUGUCCUUCCUAUGGAACUUCCUUAUAAUGAAGACCUUUUAGCAUUUUGAUUAUUAAACUCUCUUGGGAUCCAAGGUUAGCCCACAGUACACUGGAUAUCAUGCUGUAGUGGCUAUUUUAUCACUUCCUGAUUGGAAGUAGAGCCAUGUGGAAACUAGAGUUCAUCCUGUAAAAACUUGUCCCCGUGAUCAUUGGAUCCAAGAGCAGAAAAGGUUCAUAUGACCUCACCUCCCUGCCUUCAGGCACAUGAAUGACUGACCAUACUAGGGAGUCCUAACCUUAGUUUGAAUUCAUGGGGGGAGGGUUAGCUCAAUAGAUUUCAAGUCUUUUUUCUAAGUUUUUUUUUUUACUUCAUAUCACCUAUAUUGCUUUCUUCCCUUCCCAAAUGAUCAUUCCUUAUAAUGAAGAAUUUUUUUUUUUUCAGCAAAAGGAAGAAGAGAAAAAAUUCCCCACAAUGAAUUAAUUUACUAAUAAAAAAACCUUUUGUUAUUCAGAAAGUAGAAGCUGUCUUAUCUCUUUUCCUAAGGAUGCCCCACCAUGAGGUAAAUGGCAUACUUGGGGAGCUAAGGAAACUCAUAAGUAUAUUCUCAUAUAUUCCUUCUACUGGGGAUGCAGAGGCUGAAAUCAGUCAGAACUUUUCUACAAAUUUCUUUUAACUAGUGCCAUUCAAUCUCAUGAAAUUUCAAUGCCAAUUCAUCUCUUAGAAUGAACUACAUUGUAGCCCCAACCAUUUGGAAGCAGAGAUGCUAGUGUGAACUGAUAGCAACCAGAGAACCUUUCUCUGGUGUCUAUUUUACCUCCUACCUCCUCUCCUCAUCAUGGUCUGAACCAGAAUGUUUAAUAUUCUUAAAGAGAACUAUCCCUGUUUCCAGAUUUUGAAUUGGGUAAAAACUAGUGCCAUAAGUACUCUCAAGUUUGCAUAAAUAAUUCAUAAUAAAAAGACAUGGCCAAAAUAUAGGCUGUAGUUCUGGACUUCUGGGAUGGCCUUGCUCCCAAAUUCUUUUUAUCUUUGCCUAUCUCCAGAGUCCUGGACCCCAGAGCCCUUGUGUAAAGUCUGUUUGUGCUUCUCUGUAGUCAUCAUAUAUAUCUUUUUAUACAAUACAAUAUUAUUUUGUACUAUAUUCACAUACCAUAAUUUGUUGAACCAUUCCCUGAUAGGUCUUUCCCUUGUUUUCAGUUCUUUGCUACCACAAAACAUGCUGCUGUGAAUAUUUUGGCAUGUAUGGAGCUUUGGAAUCUGGGUCAAAGGAUAUGGACAUUGUUUGCCACUUUAUUUAUAUAAUUCCAGAUUGCUUUCCAGACUGAUCAUACUAAUUCACAGCUCUUGCAGUGCAAGUGUACUUGUCUUUUCCCAGCCCAUCCAAUAUUGACUGUUCUCCUCUUUUGUCAUCUUUGCCAAUUGGCUGCAUAGGCAAUGGAGAUUCAAAGUUGCUUUGAUUUGCAUUCUUUUAUUAGUAAUUUGGAGCGUUUUUAUAUGGUCAUUAAUAGUUUGCAAUUCUUUUCAGAAUUAUUAGUUAAUGUCCUUUGAAUAAUUGUUUAUUUGACUUUUGGUUUUUUAUAUUUCUGUUGUCUAUAUAUCUUAGAUCCUUUAUAUACCCUUAGCAGAGAUGUUUAUUUAAUACAACAGAGAUUUUUUCCCCUCUGAAAUUCUUAGAUUAAUUUUAACAUUAGUGGUUCAGAAUUAAAGACCUUAAGUGAUGUAAGUAACAAAUAAUUCCAAUAAUGUUUGAGCUCCCCAGUAUAAAACUUAACCAAGACAGAAGAACAUUGUCAUUGUUUGUUUUCUGAUAUCCUAGAUUUAGAGCUGGAAGUAUCUUAGAAGCCAUAGAGUUCAAUUCCCCCAUAUUAAAAAUGGAGGCUGAGUUCCAGAGAAAUAAGGUGACUUGCUCAGUUACACUGGUAAAUAAAGCUAGGUUCAACCUUAUCUCUGUAUCUCUAGUCCUACUGUCUCUAAACCUGUACUUUUCCCCCUACUAUAUUGCCUAUGCAGCUUCUGUGUGAAGAUUACCUUAGUCCAGGUUCAGACUACCUAAGCCUUCCUCAGUGUUUUGUUACCUUGAUGGUCAAGAAGGCUCCUUUGUGUCCAGCAAAAAUUGCCAGGUUUGAGCCUAUUUCAGUUUUUGGUGGAUAUGAAGGACAAGUGAUCGCUUUACUUAUUAAAACCCCACAAAUACUUGAAGGCAGUAAUAAAGUCAUUAAAAAAAAAUUAGUGUACUUUUUUGUUGCUGCUGUUGUUUUAUCAAACUGUCAAAUGAAGGGAUUUCCUGCCAAGAUAACUAUCAUGAAUCAGCAGUAAAAAUACAUAGUAAAAUAUUUGAGGCUUUUUAGUUCACAUCCAAAGGGGAAAAUAAGCAUAAAUAAAUUGAAGAUGAUUUAGAAACAUCAAAUUGUAGAAUCUUAUUUGGAAAGGAUCUUAGCAUCUUGUCCAGGCCUAGCUCAUGAAUAAAUCUCCCUCUCAUAGCAUUGUUAGCUAGUUUUUGUUUGAAUUAUACUUUUUUUUUUUAGCCCUUACCUUCCGUCUUGAAGUCAGUACUGUGUAUUGGCUCCAAGGCAGAAGAGUGGUAAGGGCUAGGCAAUGGGGGUCAAGUGACUUGCCCAGGGUCACACAGCUGGAAGUGUCUGAGGCCAGAUUUGAACCUAGGACCUCCUGUCUCUAGUACUGGCUCUCAAUCCACUGAGCUACCCAGCUGCCCCCAUACUUUUUUUUUUUUAUACACUCAUUUACUAAUUGUAUUCCUUAACCUAGUACUUGUUUUCCAAAAGCACAAACAUUAUGGUAUAGCUGCCUUUCUUACUCAACUCUGAUUUUUUUUAUUUUUUAAUCAUUAAAGGGGCAGCUACAUAGCAGAGUGCAUAGAGCUCCAGGUCUGGAAGUGGGAGGACUUGGGUUCAAAUGUGGCCUCAAACAUUUUCUAACUGUGUAACCCUGGGCAAGUCACUUAACCUCGAUUGCCCUUGCUGCCUUUCUGUCUUAGAAUUGAUAUGUUGUAAGGGUUUUUAAAAAUUCAUUGAAGUUCUGGUCUAGGAUGAAGUACCCUGGCACCUAGAAGUACUUUCUUGUUCUGUCUUCCUUUUAUCUAGGAAAAGAAAUGAGUUCCUGCUUGCUUUUGUAAGACACAUUCUAAAAGAUAUUGUUAGUUUUAUCCUCUAUAUAUCAAAGUUUCUGUUUAUAGAAUAGAUAUUCAUAUAUUGUAUCACUAUUAUAUAUAUAUGUUUUAUACACUCAUGUGUAUAAAUAAAUUUUUAAUACUUUUAAAGGAAUAAAUAAUAAUAAUACUUGUCUCCCUAUUCUCUUUUCCUUCGUACCAGGGGUUAGCCAUGGCAGAGAAAGAGAAGGAAACCUAAGAAAUGAAUAAACUUAGUGAAAUAGAGGAGAAUUGAUUUGCUUAAUUGAAAAAUUAAAGAAAGGUUAAGGUGAGACAACUACAUGGAAGCUGCCUUUUCCUGCAUCUUCCUUUGAAAGGAGACUCCCAUUUCAUAAAGUUGGGGAGACUGACCAACUCACUGUUCCUCAUUCGUGCCAUUCCAGCCAGGAACUGAGCCUGAAUGCAUCCUUCUUCAGAAGACCAUUGUUCCCUAUCUUUCUGUUGCUGGAAGCAUCUCUUCCCUUCUUCCCCAUUAAACUUUGCCCUAUUUCUACCCCCACUCCUCCAAAAAAAAUUACCUUGUUUUUACUUAGUACAUGUUUUGCUUUUGUCAACCCUUUGAGGUUUACUGUUUAUGUCUUAAUAAACCUAGCUAAAUUCAAAAAGGUUUAUCAACAAAUGCCCAGCUAAUAAGGGAUGAAAUCUUGGGUAACUCGGAAGAUUAUUUAUGAAAAUGCAGCAUAAAUUUUUUAAAAAACAUUACUUUCUGCCUGAGUAUCAAUUCUAAGACAGAAUUAGAUCAAGGACUAGGUAAUCAAGGUUAAGUACUUGCCCAGGGUCACAUAGCUAGGAAGUGUCUGAGGCCAGAUAUAAACCUAGAUCCUCCCAACUCUAGGUCUGGUGCCUUAUCUGCUGUGCUACCGAGCUGCCCCAAACUAAUUCUUUUUUAGAAGAAUGUCUAGAGCUGAGAGAUUUAACAGUGGUCAGAGAGUUAUAGUGUACCUUGCCUUCAAAUGAUAUUACCCCCAAAGCUCUGCUUUUGUAAAUACCUACUUUCUUCCUCAUAAGCACUUGGGUAGCAAAUGUUACUAGGAUAAAGGGCUUUUGAGGGAAAAUUGGUUCAUUGGUUUAAAUUGUACCUUAUUAGUCACCUUUUUCCAGAACACAGAGUAGGAGAUAGAAAUAAGAUCACAGUGAAGACUCCAAACUAGCUGGGCAUACAUGUUCUGUAGCAUUCUGAGAGCAUGUAGACAGUGCAGUACUAGUGGUCACAUUCUUUAGCUAUCUUCUGGAGGUGGAAGUUAUCUUCAUUUUGAUAGAGGAGCUCUGUGAUAGCACAGGCUCCCUUCACCUAAUUUCCCAAGACCAUAGGACCUCGAGCAAAAUGUUUCCCAGCCUCUUUAAGAUAGAUUAUCUGAUUUGUUAAAUGUUGACAUAAAAUAUCUAGAUUUUGACAAGUCAUUUGACAGUUUCUUAUGACACACUUUUGAACUAGACAAAGAAAGUGGCCUGGAUAGUAGUUCUGGGUAGAUUUCUACCUGAUUGAAUAAUUCUCUGGGGCCAAAGGGUUUUCAAGAGAUUGAAGUCAGUUAGCCAGAGAAAGGAAAGACUGAUAUGAUGUCAGCAAAAUUCUAAUCCUUGAUCCUGACAGUUUAAAUGAAGUUGGAAAAGAUAUGCUUAUCUGAAAGUGGGGAAGAUGAGCUGAGACACUGGAUGAUAGAUUCUGGAUUCAGAAUUGCUAGAAACUGAAAUCAACAAGAUGCAGUUUUGCAAGAGAGUAGAGGACUCAGGAAGAACCUUGAGGGAUCCCCAUCAUCAGGGAGCACAAUAUGUAUGAUUACCCAGAAAGGGAAGUGAGAAGGGGCUAGACAGAAAAGAGAGUAUCUAGGCAGACAGAGGUAUCAAACACUAUCAGAUGGUAUAGGCUGGAUAUAUGGGCUGAAAAAAAGACCAUCAGAUUUAGUGAUUGAGAGAUCAUUUUGGAAAGCAGUUUCAGUGGAUUGAUGAGGAUGAAAGCUGUAUUGCAAAGGAAUGAGGGAUGGGCAAAAGGAGAAGUGGUAGUAUGGGGGUAUUGAUAACUUUUUCUAUAAGUUUGGCUAAAAGUAUGCUUUUUCUUGGUCUGUCUUCUUCACCUUUCGGCAACAUUUUAUAUUGCUGAUUGUCUCUUCUUUGAAUCAGUCCCUCCCCUGUCUUGUGUGACAGGAUAUUAUCAUCCUGAUUCUCCUGCUUUUUACUUCUCUCCCCUCACUGGAUAUACUCUAUAAAGCUUAGUCCUUGCUCUCAUUUUCUUCUUGACACUUGAUCUACCAGAGAACUCUAUCAUGAGAAGCAUAAUGAAGCUGCUCAGUGAUUGUAGUCAGAGGAUCGAGUCUGAAGCACAUCUCAGUUACUUAAUCUUUGCAUGACCUUAGCCAAAGCAUUUAGCCCGUUGCCCUCACUUUCCUCAUCUGUAAAAGGAGGGAGUUUAGGGACUAGAUCUCCAAGGUCCUUUCCAGUUCUAUAUCUGUAUUCUUGAGAUUUCUAUUCAUGGCUUCUAGUCCAAACAAGAACUGUUUUCCCUAUUUACACUCUGCUUACCUCUACAUUUCCAAAACUGAACAUUUCUCAAAAAAAUCACUUCUCAGUGGGAAUUGGACCCUUUGGGAGCCAACUGACUCAGCAGGGAAUACUAUUCUUGGGAAAAGAUGGAAUGCUAUAGAUUAUACAGUAAUAUGAAUAGAUGUAUUCAAAACAGGUGGUUGUGAUUUUUUUCUUUUAAAGAUUCAUUUUUUAGAAUACUACUUAGCUUCCUUCAUAACUCUUCCCUUCCCAGACUCUGAGAGACAUCCUUUCUAAGAUUUUUUUUUUUUUUAGAGAAAGAAGAGGGGAGGAAACUAACAAAAACAAAUCAAUACAUGGAAGAAAUCAGAUUUUUAUGUAAUGAUUUACACCCAUGUGGAAACCUCUGCAAAGGAGAAAGGGAACAGGAUCUACUUAUAACUAACUAUUCUUUGGAUCCACAGAAUCCUUAUUCUUUAUUAAAAAAACAACAACCCUGGCCUUCUGUCUCAGAAUUGCUUAGAAAGGCUGAGAAGAAGGAUUAAGCAUUUGGGGUUAAGUGACUUGCCCAGGGUCACAUAGCUAGGAAGGGUCUGAAUCUCUUCUUUAUGAUCAGAAUGGAUUGUUGGCUGGCCAGACUCCAAGUGGCAGGAUAUCUCUAGCGAAGUGUCCCACGGAUCUUUUCUCAGCUCUGUUUUAUCAAAGUCAUGGAUAAAGGAUAAAUGGUAUGCUCAGCAGAUUUAUAAGUGACAUCUAGAUGGGAGGGAUAGUAAACAGUGGAUAUUUAAGUCAAGAUCCAAAAAGAUCGUAAACUACAGAAUUGAGCUAAAUUAAUAGAUGAAAAAGUUGUAAAGUCUUAUACACAGGUACAAAAAAAACCCAACUUCACAAAUGCAGAAUGAAAAAGGGGCAACUAAAUUGUAAUUUGUCUGAAGAUUUCUAUAGAUUUACUGAAUUGCUACCUCAACAUGUCAGCAGUGUCAGCAACCAAAAAAGCUAAUUGGAUCUCAAGCUAUACUAAGGAAGACAUAGCUUCCAGGAACAAAGGGGAGGUUGGAGGGAACAUUUAUUAAGUGACGACACUGUGCCAGGCACGUGCUAAAUUCUUUGGAAAUAUUAAUCUCAUUCAAUCUUUAACAACUUUGGGAUGUAGGUACUGUGUUAUCUUCAUUUUUAGUAGAGGAAGCCAAGGCAGACAGGUUAAGUGACUUCUCGGGGUCACACAAGUGGAGUGAGAGAGACUGGAUUUGAACUCAAGGCUUCUCGACUCCAGGCCUGGUGCACUGUUCAUUGUGCCUUCAGCUGCCAAGGAGAUGAGAUAAUGGUUCCUCUAUACACUCCUAGCAGCACGUGUGAAGUAUUUCCUUUUGGGUACCACAAUUUAGGAAGGACAGUGUUACACUAGAGAGCAUCCAGAGAAGGAUAAUAAUAUGGAUAUUGGUGGAUUUUAGCCUGGAAAAGAGAAGACUUGCAGGAGGGCAGUGGGACUUGAUAACUGUGUUCAAAUAUUUAAAAGGCUUAUCAUGUGGGAGAAAGCAGAUUUAGAACUAAAAGGGACCUCAGGGACCAUUUAAUCCCAGCAUCUUCUUUUUAUAGAUGAGGAAACUGAGGCCAAAGGAAGUUAAAUGAUUUGCCCAAAGUCACACAAACAAUAGGGAAGCAUCAGAGGUACAAUUUGAAUCCAAGUCCUUUGACACCAGAAGCACAUUGUAGUGUUUUUUUUCCCCUAUACCAUACUUUGCCUGGCUCUGUUUGGCCUUGAUCACAAAAAGGCAAAUUUAGGCUUGAUUAGAUAAAAGCUUGCUAGAGAUGAGAGAUGUCCAAAAGUAGAAGGGACUUCCUCUGGAGGUGCUGGUUUCCCUCAGUGGAAGUCUUCAUUUACCAACCGGAUAAUGACCAGUUACCAGGACCAAAUGACUAGCAUGAACUCAACUGAUUGACAUAUUAAAGUGAAGUUAGGGGUGUUAGAAUGAAGUUUUAUCAUAAUGUCUGUUACAAAUUUCACUUUAAACAAGGUAAGGUACUUACUAUCCCUCUUUGGCUACCUGAACUUAAUCACACUUGAACUAUGGAUUUUUUAAAUUGACUGUUUUGGCUAUAACUGUGUUAUCUCCCUCAUUAAAAGUUUAUUUUACUGAUUUUAUAUGAACUGACAGGCAAAAGGAUUUAAGAAAGUAUUCAAAAGCGGUAUGUUAGCAUCAUACUGGAUUGGACUGCUGACUAAAGGUGUAUUUGACAUUAUUCCAGUGCGAAAUGUGCAACUGAUGCUUUUACAAGAAGCCUAAAACUGGACAGGCAGUGCUUGCAGCCAGGAGGUAAUUUGAAUUUAAACACAAGUAUUUACUACUAGUCAAGAAGAGGAACCUUCGUCAGUAGAUGGAUGAAGAAAGAUUUGUACCACAUCUUCUUAUGAUGUAUAUCCACAAUUUAUGCUUUAAGUUUCUACAUAUUCAUUCUAAUUUAAACAAUAAGUGUUUUUUGACUGACUUGUAUCUAUUUAGGAUGUUGAUAUGACUUGAAGCUGUGAAUGGGUUUAUCAUUGUUACAUAAAGUUCAUUUUAUGAAUGAAAUUGUCAUAAUUUUAAAUAUAAUAGUUAGAGCUACCUCCCCUCCCCCCCUUCAUGAGGAAACAGAACUAAAUAGAAAUAUGUGAAGGGGACACUUUUCAGUUUUUUGUUUUUCAGAUGUGCCUUCUUUAAUGAGUUAUUUGGGGAAGAGUUUUUUUUUUUUAUUUCUUGUCCUUAAGCCAUUUGGGUUACAGCAGGUUUUCCAGUAAUCCGAUCUCAGUUUAAAGAUCUUUUAUUUUGAAAAGAAUGAAAUUUAGUUUGUGAAUGAAAAGAUUUCUUGAAUAUACACGUUAUGAAAAUUGAAACAGUGGAGGGAGAGCUUUGUUGUUUUCCAACAAACAAGUUGUUUUCCCCCCAUCUGGCAUUUCUUGUCUAAGAAUUCCAGAAGUUGGAAAGGUAACUUUCACGUUUAGCACAUCUGUUUUUGGAAAAUCCAGAUUUAAUUAUAAGAGUAAAAUUGAGAGACUCUUAUGGUUUUUAAACCAGAGGCAAGAAUGAAAUGUGGGGGGAAAUACCUGUCACUGCUACAUGCAAUUUGUUCUAACACCUGCCCUAUUAGCCUAGUUCUGGGCCCCAAAGUAGCAAUUUAACACAAAUCUCACCCAGAGCAUAUGCUGCCAUCACUUCCCUCUUCCUCCUCCUCUUCUAAAUUAGCAGGUAUAGAAAAGAGGACCGAAUGGAAAAUGUGUGUGUGUGUCUGUUUCUCUCCAUGUCCAUUACUUCCCCCGCCCCCCAUUGUUCCUUCUGGUGGUUUUGUUUGUUUGUUUGUUUUGGUGAAGGUAGUGGAAUGGAGAGGGAGGCUGUCUUAGUGACCAUAAAAAACAGCUUUUAUGACCCUGAGCCAAGUUUCCCUGCUGUCUGUCUCUUUCUAGCUUGCCUUUUGCUUUGCUCAUUUAUUUCCUAUGGAAAUAACAAAGUAUACAUGUUCUCCACUUUCCUUUCCUUUUCCCCCAUCAUCCUUCAGCCUCUUCAACAAGAGUCAUUCCUGGAAUUAAUGCCUAGAAACAUCUAAAUAAUGACUGUUUUUUUUACCUUUGAUAGCUAUCUGGCACUAAAAAUGUGUUCUAAAAAGGUUAAUUUAGAAAUGGGAGAAUUAGGUCAAUAGAUCAGUUUGAUGUAGAAAAUGCUGUUAGAUUAAACUUUCCAUCAGUAGGAUGGAAGAAACUCUGUUCAAUUUAAUUGGAUUUUUAAAUUUACCUAAAUUUCUCCUGCUCCUUUCCCAAAUAUUCAGAAUCCUGCCAUUUUAAAAUACUAUCAUGUUUUGUUUGCUAAGGAGUAUUGUAAGUAAACCAUGUUGGAGAUUAAUAAUCUCAACCUACCUUAAGAUAUUUUCAAAAGCUUGAGAUAAUAAUAUUAUUGACUUCUAAAUCUCUCAGGCCAAAUGCAUUUUAUAAUAUUAACCUUGCCAUUUUCUGGAAAUUAUGUGUUAUAUGUUAUUCUCCUGAGUUCUUUCCCCUUGGGUACAUAGGUAAAAAAAUUAAUAUAUGGAAAGGAGAGGUAAAUACAUAUUUAUAAAAUUGUUAUGCCCUUUCCCAAGUAUUUUAUUUCUAGGAUUUGAGGUUUAAAGUUGAUUAUAAAAAUGUCUUACCUUAAAAUAUUUCUUUUUAAACAUUAAAGAUAAUGUGAAUAAGCCAAAAAAAAAAAGCAUCAUUGAGUGAAGCUUAUUAACACCUCUCUAUUCAUCCCAUGAGCUGUAAUUACAAAACAGUGUGUUGAUUCAGCCCAGGAAGCAUACAUCAUCCUUCCUUCCCCACCCCCCUCCCCCAGCAAUAUACUUGAUUAUUUGGGGGAAGCCACCUGAAUGUGAAUGUAGAUUAUAGCAUAUCUAAUAAUGGGAACUUAAAGUAUACUCAUUAAAAGAUGGUUCCUAAAAUAAGCAAUGUCUCUUUAAUAUACUGAAGGAAAAAGGACUGAUUUUAAUAUAGUCUUUUUUUUUUUCCAAAAUGAGCUGAUACUUAUGUUAAUCCCAGCUAGGCAAAUGUAAAAUCUCUUUUGGUUGUCAUUUAAGUGAAGAACAUAUUACCUUGAUCAGAAUUUUCCCAUCUCUGGUUCUAAAAUUGGGUAGUAUAUUCUCUCUAACCAUAAUUUUAUAAAAAUAAAUACAGGAAAAAAAACCCUAUAAAGACUACCUACCUAUUUUCACUCUUUAAAAAAACAAAAAACCCUUACCUUCAGUCUUAAAACCAAUAUCAAGGCAGAAGAGUGGUCAGGGGUAGGCAGGUAGGGUUAAGUGAUUUGUCCAGGAUCACACAGCCAGAAAGUGUAGCCACCUAGCUGCCCCUGCCUACCUACUUUUGAUAAAAACUGGACCUGGACUCCCCCCUCCAGAAUGCAGCCAAAAGUCCAUAUGAUCUAACCAGCUUUAUAGCACCAGUAGAAUAAAAUGUAUCUGAAUUUGAUUGUAUUGAGUAUUUUGAAACACCUUAAUAUUUCUUCAGAUUGAGUGUGCCUCUCACCAAAGAUCUAGGUAUUGAUCACAUCCAGUCAUUUUUUCCUCCUGAAUUGUUUAUGUAUCCUUCCUUUUGUUUCCAUUCCUCUUGCCUCCCCUGUGGUUCUUUUUUUUUUAAUCCAUAACUUCCACUUUAGAAUCAAUAUUGUGUAUUGGUUCUAAGGCAGAAUUGCAAGGGCAGGGGUCCCCAAACUUUUUACACAGGGAGCCAGUUCACUGUCCCUCAGACCGUUGGAGGGCCACACUAUAAAACCCUAACCCUAACGGGGCAGCAGUAUGCACAGUGCAGAAUCUCCUCCCCCAGAUCGCCGCUCACCAUGCCGAUGUCUUCCAUUGUGCAGCCACAUAAUCCUUUGCAGGGCGCCUUGUUCUAAGGCACCACACAAAGGAUUAUGUCACCGGAAGUAGUACUGUACGUGAGCAACACUGCGCUUUGCAGCACCACAGUGCUCCUCUCACCACCAAUGAAAGAGGUACCCCUUCUGGAAGUGGGGUGGGUGGCCGGAUACAUGACCUUUGGGGACCCCUGAGCUAGACAAUGGGGUUAAGUGACUUGCCCAGGGUCACACAGCUAGAAAGUGUCUGAGGUUAGAUUUGAACCCAGGACCUCCUGUCUCCAGUGAGCCAUCCAGCUGCCCCCCAUCCCCCCGUAGUUCUUAACAGGCUUUAUGACCUCAUGCUUAAACUGUUACCAGCUUCUUCCUGGAUUUUCCUGUUUCUUCUCUACCUACUCUAGCCCAUUUGUUCAUUGCUGCCAGAUUCAUCUUCCUAAAGUUAUACUUUGUUCAUCUUAUUCUUCUGUUUAAGAACCUUUUAGGACUCAUUCUUGUUAAUAGGCUCCUUCACUUGCUCUUAAUCUCCCCAGUCUAGUUCCAAUCUACCUUUUCAGCUUUAUCUCCUACUCUUCCUGUAGAUUUUGAGCUCCAUUCAAGCUAGGGCCUGUUUCUGCCAACACAUUUUUAUUGACAUUCUAGUCACCUCAGAUGACCUCUCUCUGACAGAAUUUUAUGCAUCCAACUCAAAUCCCACCUCCUUUGUAAUAGCUUUUGGGCCUCUUGAAUAGGAAGUGCUUUCUUCUCCCUAUGCCCACCCCAAUAACAGUCAUUGUAGGUUCUGGACAUUGGGCAGUCUGCAACACUUGCUGACAUUAGUGAUGAGUCACAUUUGUCUUUCCUCCCCAAACAGAUUUAAAGUUCCUUCAGGUCAGACUUCAUCUUUUGCUCAACUCAGUAAACAUUUAAGCACCUUCCAUGAGCAGUUUUCCCUGCUGGGCAACAGUUCCUGUCUACAAGAAGCUUGAAGUUUAGGAAGAUAAGAUCACUGUAACACAAAGCUAUUUGUGAAGAGGCCUGUAUGAAAGAGAAUGUACUUCAGCCACAACAAACAUGGACGUUUUCAGAGACACAUCACUUGAACUAGAUUCUGAAGAGGAAUGGAAUUUUUAUACUCUUGUGUAUAUAGCUGAUUGGAUAUCCCAGAUAUUCCAGGAGGAGGUGACAUAGUACCAUGUUCCAAGAACAACUAGGCUUUCGUUUUGACUGAAAUGUAGAGAAAAUAGUCAGAGAUCUGAUUUAUUGCCAAAUCUUGUCAAUUCUACCUCCAUAAUAAAUUCCUAAACUCCCUUGUAUUCAUUUUGUAUAUUUGAUAUUAACUUGUGUAUGUUCAUGUUAUUUCCUCUAUUUGAAUACAAAGUCCUUUAAGGAAGAGACUGUUUUGUUUUUGUAUCCCUGGUCCUUAGCCCAGUGCCAGGUACAAUUUUCUGUUGUUCAGUUGGUUUAAUCUAGUUUAACUCUUCAUGACCCCAUUUGGGGUUUUGGCAGAGAUACUGGAGUGGUUGACCAUUUCUUUCUCCAGCUCAUUAAACAGAGUUCAGUGACUUGCCCAGAGUCGCAUAGCUAGUAAGAGAAGUCUUCCUGAUUCCAAGGCGGAAAUUCUUAAUUAUUGAGCGACCUAGCUGCCCCUGGGCACAGAAUAACCUCAUAACAAAUGUUUUUGAAAUAACACAGUAGGUACAAUUCCAAACCUGGAGUUGAAAGAACGGCAUUCAAUUUCAGCUUCAGACAAGUCCUAGCUGUGUGACUGGGCAAGUUACUUAACCCCAGUUGCCUAGACUUUACAGCUCUAAUGCCUUAGAGAAAAGGUAACAAAUAAACAAAUGUUUGCUUGAUUGAUUGCAUUUAUCUUCUUUCUGCUCACAGGGUCACCCUUAAUAGAGUUCUUAUCAGCUCUUUCUAGAACUAUUGAAGUCAUACAAAACACAUUUUCAUAUGUAGUUGUAAAAGAAAUAGACAAAAAGAAAAAAAAGUUAAGCUUAAAAGAAGCUAGGUAGCUUAGUGGAGUGAGAACCAGACCCAAAGAUAAGAGAUCUUGGGUUCAAAUAUGACCUCAGAUACUUUUUAACUGUAUAACCUGGGCAAGUUAACACCCAUUGUCUAGCCUUUAGCACUCUUCUGCCUUUGAACCAAUACUUAUAUAUCAGAGUAGCUAAGUCUUUCACAGUUGAUCAUUAUUAUAAUGUCGCUAUUACUAGGUACAGUGAUCUUCUGAUUCUGCUCCUCACUUUUCACAAAUUCAUGUAUUCACAGGUUUUUCUGAAACUACUUUGUUCAUCAUUUCUUAUAACACAGUAAUAGUCCAUCACAAUUCCAUGCCACAGUUUGUCCAGACAUUCCCCACUUGAGGCAUCCCCUCAAAUUCCAAAUCUUUGCCACCAAUAGAAGGGUUGUUAUAAAUAUUUUUAUACAUAUAGGUCAGUUUUGGCAAAAGUUUUCCAGUUCACAUGCCCAAACUGCAACUUUAUGCUGCCUGUGAGCCCCCUGCAUUGCCUCAGAGAACAGAAGGAGGAAGUGCUUGCUUUGGGUGGCUGGACAGAGGGGAGAGGCAUGCAAAAAAUGUCCUUGGGCGCUGGAACAAGGGGGAAUGGAGCAGCCCCCUCCAUGCUGGCUGAGCACAUGUGCCAAUACUUCGCCAAUGCUAAUAUAGGUGCUUUCCCUUUUUCUUUGAUCUCUUUGGGAUAUAGACCUAGUAGUGGUAUUGCUGGAUCAAAUAGUAUGCACAGUUUUAUAGCCUUUGGGAAUACGAGUAUCCCUUCCACAUUGUAACUUUCCCUAUUGAGGUUGUGAUAUAUCUUGGGUUGUCAUAAGAAAUUAAAUGGGAUUUGGGGGGGAGUUUUGCAGAAGCCAUAGACAACACUUGAAGGCCAGCAGGUGAUCCAGAAAAGGUUUAGAAACUCAGAAAUGUAUAAAAUAUAUGUAGAGUAUUAUAUAAUAUCAACUUAUUUUAUUUUUAAUACCAUGAAUAUAUACAAUUUCCUUUACCAUAAACACCCCAUAAAAGAAAAAGAAAAAAAUUCAGACUUCUUCUCUGGUAUGAAAGGAGAGCUAAAAAAUUUUAUGCAGAUGUUCCAGAUUUCAGGGGUACCAGGCCUCUAAACCCUGAGAUGUGGAAGGGAUACCUGUAGUUCUAAAUUAUUCUCCAGAAUGGUUGAACCUAGUUCACAACUCCACUGACAAUGCAUUAGUGUUCUAAUUUUAUCAUAUCCUCUCCAGCAUUUGUCCUUUUCUGUUUUUGUUGUGUUGGCCAAUUUGUUAAAUGUGAACUGGUAUCUCAGAGUUGUUUUGAUUUGUAUUUUUUCUAAUGAGUAGUGAUUUAGAGCAUCUUUUCAUGUUAUUGGUGAUCAUUUUGAUUACUUUGCUUGAAAACUUCCCCGUUUCUAUCCUUUGACCAUUUAUCAACUGAGAAAUGACUUUUAUUUUUAAAAAUUUGACUCAGUUCCCGAUAUAGUUAAGAAAUGAAGUCUUUAUCAGAGAAACUUGGUGUAAAAGUUCCCACCACCACCACCCUAUUUCCUAUAUUCCUUCUAAUUUUGACUACAUUUGUUUGUACAAAAGCUUUUUAAUUUCAAGUAAUCAAAAUUAUCUUAUUUAUUUCAUGUAAUCCCCUUUAUCUCUAGUUUGGUCAAAAACUCUUCCCUUUUCCAUAGAUCUGAUAGGUACAUUUUUUUUUUCAUGCUCCCUUAUUUACUUGUGAUAUUAUCCUUUAUGCUUAAAUCAUUUAUCCAUUUUGACUUUAUCUUGGUAUCAAUGUGAGAUGUUGGUCUGCACAUAGCUUCUUGCCAAACUAUUUUCCAGUUUUCUCAGCAAUUUGUCAAGUGUUGAGCUCUUAACCCAGAAGCCUGGAUCUUUGAGUUUAUCAGACACUAGCUUACUGUGGUCAUUUAUUACUGUGUAUUGUAUGCCUAAUUUAUUCCACUGAUCCACCACUCUACUUCUUAGCCAGUACCAUAUUGUUUUGAUGAUUACUGCUUUGUAAUAUAGUUUAAAAUCUGGAACUGGUAGGCUGUCUUCCAUAAAAUUUUUUCUGAUUGAUUCCCUUAAUGUUUUUGACCUUUGGUCUUUCCAAAUGAUUUUUGCUAUUUUUUCCUAACUCUAUAAAAUAAUUCUUUGGUAA